UGAGAGAUUAAAGAGAGUUUAAGAGUGAUUAUGAGAGAUUGAGGUGUUUAGGUGUAAGUGUAAGAGAUAAUCAUGAUGAACUAAAGAGAGACACUCAUAAACUCUUGUGUUAUCUCAUUAAUCAAUCAGGUUACAAUAUAUAUAUGAGAGAGAGCUAGGGCAUUUCGAAAUACAAGCAUGUGAAGUCAAGGAUAAGAUGAGAGACUAUGGGAAAAGUAACCAAUGGGAUGAGCCACAUGCUUGGACACCUUUUGCUUUUACUUUCCAGGCUGUCCUUAGCUGUAGCCGCGCCUUAUCCAUCUGAUUCAACGGACUGAUUGUGGAUAAGGCUGUAACAAAGCUAAACUCCCAAGUUAACUCCCCUUAGGUAACUUUGGACCAUCUCCAUUACCCUAACUGUACGGCCUUGCCUUGUACGGCCUUGCCUUGUACGGACACCUCAACCAUAUUCAACUCAACUCUUCUAUCCUUCUCUAAUACUCCAUGCCUUCACCCUGAUACCUCUUCUCUUCUCUUAUUUUGUUCAACA
This 529-nucleotide long non-coding RNA is filed under the name Brassica napus (rape). Its description in RNAcentral is "long non-coding RNA (BNAP_LNC001780)". The record is from RNAcentral. Lineage: Eukaryota; Viridiplantae; Streptophyta; Magnoliopsida; Brassicales; Brassicaceae.